AUUGAACGCUGGCGGCAUGCUUUACACAUGCAAGUCGAACAGCAGCGCUGUCUUCUGCCUGGCGGCGAGUGGCGAACGGGUGAGUAAUACAUCGGAACGUGCCCAGUAGUGUGUGGUAGCUCGUCGAAAGCCGGGUUAAUACCGCAGACGACCUGAGGGUGAAAGCGGGGGAUCUUCGGACCUCUCGCUAGUGGAGCGGCCGAUGGCAGAUUAGCUAGUUGGUGGGGUAAAGGCCUACCAAGGCGACGAUCGGUAGCUGGUCUGAGAGGACGACCAGCCACACUGGGACUGAGACACGGCCCAGACUCCUACGGGAGGCAGCAGUGGGGAAUUUUGGACAAUGGGCGAAAGCCUGAUCCAGCAAUGCCGCGUGUGUGAUGAAGGCCUUCGGGUUGUAAAGCACUUUUGGCGGGAAUGAAAAGGACUGUGCCAAUACCACGGUUCGAUGACGGUACCCGCAGAAUAAGCACCGGCUAACUACGUG
RNAcentral lists this ribosomal RNA (484 nucleotides) under uncultured bacterium. Its description in RNAcentral is "partial 16S ribosomal RNA". It matches the Rfam family "Bacterial small subunit ribosomal RNA", at positions 30 to 507 of the family's 1533-position model. The record is from RNAcentral.